CAACAACUUAAAACAAGAUUAAACUUUAUCUUUAAGUAAAUAUCCAGUGGCAUUUUCAUGCAUAAUGCAGGCAAAAUGUAUGAGAAAAAUGGGCUUUCAUCUCGCCCACCCAGCACACCGACCCGUCAGAACUCUCGUCGCUCGGAGGGCGGAGGUGAUCGCGGUGAGCGAUCAGAACGCGGCGAUCGAGGAGAAGGGAGCAGUAUUGGCGGUAGUGCGAGUGUACUACAAAGGAAGGGGUCUGGCAAGGAUAAAACUCGCCUCCUUUCCUCAAAUGGGACCCAGUCUCAGCCCUAAGUGAACUAAUCAGACAAGCUUUUGAGCGGGAGGGGACAAUCCCCGCUCUUGAUUCCCCCCAGACACGACUCCCUCAUAGUCCAUCUGCACAGUACACAACAACAGGUAUACUCAGCCUUGAUUUUCACAUCACUAGCGGAAACCCUGGGAUCCAACUGCAACAAUAGGAGAGUCAGGAGUCUAUCCACAUGGAAGUGUUCUUACAUGCAAAUAAUCGUCUGAUGAAAAAAUUAUGAUAUCACUUAUCCUUCUUAGGAACAAAGGAUUUGAAAAGUGGAAGCAAGAUGUAUCGCUUAAUAUAAACCCCAGCUAUAAAUUAUUUCAUACAGUACAAACAAGGAGAUUGACAUACCGGUGAACAUCCAGUGAUCUAAUGGCAACAAACUAUUUAAGGAGGAACAAACACUAAGUGGGACAGGAAAGAAUGUCUCUAAAACUUCAUCAUCAUCAUCAUAAGCAAUGAUCCAUCAGAAAAUCACUAAGAGCUGUUUGAGGUAGAGAAAAGCAAACAUGUCGGGAAAAAGUGGGAAGUUCUUCAUUCUUAACACCACUUGGAGCACAAAAAAAAAAGGAUUUCUAGAACACUAUGUAAAGAAAAGAAUAGGGAUUUUUUUAGAACGGGAAUCUAUUUUGUAACCCAAGAUGCUACUAUAGUCCUAUGUGACUAUACCUUCAUGAUCUGAGGACAGAUGACGCCUUUAGCGAGAUGUUAAGUGUUGAAGAUAUAGGCUAUGUUAACACUGAUUGUUCAAGCUUGUGCUUUAGAUCUUGAACUCUGUGAUAUGUUGUAGAUCAAAUAAUCAGUCAGUUUCAGAUAUGCAGUGGAGAGCUGUCCACUGGAAGCUACAGUUGGCAAAAUUGGGCGGUUUUAAGUCACUGCAGUUCUGAGAGUACCUCAGAUCUACCCCACUCACUAAGCAGGGCACAGAGGGAUGAGCAGGCAUCUAGAUUUCCUAUGACAUGUUCACACGGAAACCGAACAAGAGGAACAAAAUAGCCAGUCACUCCCUUGUGUCAUACAAAGAGACAGUGGGAGAAAAAAUGUAAAAGCCUCCACUGUUUUCUCAUGUGACUCCUGGUAGAACUUCCAUAAUAAGUGGAAGUCCACAAAAGUCUUUUUUUUGGUUUCUACUUCGAUAUUUAUAUUAUAUUUUAGAGCUGGG
RNAcentral lists this long non-coding RNA (1460 nucleotides) under Sinocyclocheilus anshuiensis. Its description in RNAcentral is "lncRNA (ENSSANG00000031683.1)". The record is from RNAcentral. Lineage: Eukaryota; Metazoa; Chordata; Actinopteri; Cypriniformes; Cyprinidae.